UACGGAAGGCAGCAGUGGGGAAUAUUGGACAAUGGGCGAAAGCCUGAUCCAGCCAUGCCGCAUGAGUGAAGAAGGCCUUCGGGUUUGUAAAGCUCUUUUAGUGAGAAAGAUAAUGACGGUACUCACAGAAGAAGUCCUGGCUAACUCCGUGCCAGCAGCCGCGGUAAUACGGAGAGGGCUAGCGUUAUUCGGAAUUAUUGGGCGUAAAGAGCGCGUAGGCUGAUUAGUAAGUUAAAAGUGAAAUCCCAAAGCUUAACUUUGGAAUUGCUUUUUAAAACUGCUAGUCUAGAGAUUGAAAGAGGAUAGAGGAAUUCCUAGUGUAGAGGUGAAAUUCGUAAAUAUUAGGAGGAACACCAGUGGCGAAGGCGUCUAUCUGGUUCAAAUCUGACGCUGAGGCGCGAAAGGGCUGGGGAGCAAACAGGGAUUUAGAUACC
This 434-nucleotide ribosomal RNA is filed under the name uncultured bacterium. Its description in RNAcentral is "bacterial SSU rRNA". It matches the Rfam family "Bacterial small subunit ribosomal RNA", at positions 340 to 786 of the family's 1533-position model. The record is from RNAcentral.